This 480-nucleotide ribosomal RNA is filed under the name uncultured bacterium. RNAcentral's name for it is "bacterial SSU rRNA". It matches the Rfam family "Bacterial small subunit ribosomal RNA", at positions 28 to 498 of the family's 1533-position model. The record is from RNAcentral.
GAUGAACGCUAGCGGCAGGCUUAAUACAUGCAAGUCGAGGGGCAUCAAGGUACACGAAAGUGUAUUGUUGGCGACCGGCGGACGGGUGAGUAAUAGGUAGGUAACCUACCUCAUACUGAGGCAUAGCUGGGAGAAAUUCCAGGUAAUUCCUCAUGAGGUUAUAUGACACAUGUGAUAUAAUCAAAGGUAUCGCAAGGUACUGGUAUGAGAUGGGCUUACUGACCAUUAGCUAGUUGGUGAGAUAAGAGCUCACCAAGGCGAAGAUGGUUAGGGGUUUGAGAGAGAGAUCCCCAAUUGGAACUGAGAUACGGUCCAGACUCCUACGGGAGCAGCAGUAGGGAAUAUUGGGCAAUGGGCGGAAGCCUGACCCAGCCAUGCCGCGUGAAGGAGACGGCCUUAUGGGUUGUAAACUUCUUUACUAUGCGACUAACUAGAUUUACGAGAUAAUUCUAUAGAAUGUAGCAUAGAAAAGCACCGGUA